RNAcentral lists this long non-coding RNA (517 nucleotides) under Olea europaea subsp. europaea. Lineage: Eukaryota; Viridiplantae; Streptophyta; Magnoliopsida; Lamiales; Oleaceae. The record is from RNAcentral.
GCUUUAGGGCAUCCCCAAGAUAUGUUUUCAAAUACUGCUAUAUAAUUACAACCCGUUUUUGCUCAAUGGAUACAAAACACCCAUGCUUUAGCACCUGGCGCAAUGGCUCCUAGUGCAACAGCAAGCACUAAUUUCACUUGGGGUGGUGAUUUAGUAUCAGUGGGUGGCAAAGUGGCUUUGUUACCUAUUUCGUUAGGAACCGUGGAUUUUUUAGUACAUCACAUCCAUUCAUUUACGAUUAUGUCACGAUAUUGAUACUCCUGAAAGGUGUUCUAUUUGCUCGUAGCUCCCAUUUGAUACCGGAUAAAGCAAAUCUUUGUUUUCAUUUUCCUUGUGAUAGACCUGGAAGAGGGGGUACAUGUCAAGUAUCGGCUUGGGAUCAUGUCUUCUUUGGAUUAUUCUAGAUGUACAAUUUCAUUUCAAUAGUAAUAUUCCAGUUCAGUUGAAAAAUGCAGUCAGAUGUUUGGGACAGUAUAAGUGAUCAAGGGGUAAUAACUCAUAUCAUGGGAGGAAACNN